UAUUUUUCUAUUCAACAUGUAAUGUCGUCAGCUAACGGUCCACGCAUUUGUGUGCAAAACAUGCAUGCAAAUUGUUCCUGACUGAAAGCUGGCCGCAAGAGACUCCUACCUCAGCGAAUGCUUUUAGUCGAUAAAGCUCUCGAUAUUUUUCGCAAAAGGAAAUCAUUAAUGAUCCAAGAUUGCGCAUAUACCUGAUGCUUAUCUCAAUCAAUAUUAUAUGUGCAAAAAUCGUGACAUUAAUGUACGUAUAUCUCUUGCGCUUGCAAUCUUUGGAGUACAUUAAUGAACAUCUAAUAUAUUUCAACCUCUUGCUAUUUAUAAACUUGCCGUCCCUGCCUGCCACAUUUGGUGUCUUACUGGGACCUUACACUUGACUAGAGCCGAGUUUUUCAAGAGAUAGCCAAUAUGAGAGGGAGCAAUCUAGUGCAGGCAACGACGAUAUUCUUCAUCGGAUGCCUUGUCGUGUGUGUCCAGUGUGGUCUCGACGCUAAUGAAAUGGUAGUCAAACAAGAUGGCCGUGUGGCGAAUACAAGUACUGACGCUACCGUUGUCAACUCAACGUCUGUAGGCGACAGCAAGAUAACUGUCAAAUUUUGCAUCCAAAAUUUGGGAUGCCAUCUUUCAGAUGGGUACCGUGGUACAUGCUACUGCUGCCAGAAAGAUGAGAUCGAGUGUUUCAGGACGCGGAGUGAGUGUCAGGACAUCUGCCCUACGUGCAACCCAAAAUGCCCACCUCCGUCGGGGUCUCUUGGAUAGAAUUUCAGGCUCGAACAAAUUGUCCAUCGGUAAUAAAAGGAAGAACCUAAUUUGGUUUGGGCAACUGGCUCCCAACCAAACAUCAACGGAUAUCCUUUGGUCGUCGUGCUUCGAUAGGAUUGUCUAAUAUACUUUCUCUCUCCUUUUUCUUUGGGAGAUUAUGAGGUUGGCUUUGAAUGUUUCCACAACAUUCCUUGCA
Molecule: long non-coding RNA, 955 nt
Organism: Aegilops tauschii subsp. strangulata
Lineage: Eukaryota; Viridiplantae; Streptophyta; Magnoliopsida; Poales; Poaceae
Source: RefSeq, a predicted model, not a curated record